GACGAACGCUGGCGGCGUGCUUAACACAUGCAAGUCGAACGGAAAGGCCUCUUUCGGGGGGUACUCGAGUGGCGAACGGGUGAGUAUCACGUGAGUAACCUCCCCUUGACUUUGGGAUAACUUCAGGAAACUGGGGCUAAUACCGGAUAUGAGCUCCUCCUGCAUGGUGUGGGUUGGAAAGUUUCGGCGGUUUGGGAUUGACUCUCGGCUUAUCUGCUUGUUGGUGGGGUAGUGGCUUACCCAGGCUUUUGCGGGUAGCCGGGCUGGGAGGGUGACCGGGCACAUUGGGACUGAGAAUAGGCCCAGAACCCUACGGGAGGCAACAGGGGGGAAUAAUGCACAAAGGGGGGAAGCCUGAUGCAAGAAAGCCGUGGGGGGGAUGGAGGGCUUCGGGUUGUAAAACGCUUUCGCUCAUGACGAAGCUUUGUGUGACGGUAGUGGGUAAAGAAGCACCGGCUAACUACGUG
RNAcentral lists this ribosomal RNA (467 nucleotides) under uncultured bacterium. RNAcentral describes it as "partial 16S ribosomal RNA". It matches the Rfam family "Bacterial small subunit ribosomal RNA", at positions 28 to 507 of the family's 1533-position model. The record is from RNAcentral.